CCUACGGGUGGCAGCAGUAGGGAAUAUUGCUCAAUGGGGGAAACCCUGAAGCAGCAACGCUGCGUGGAGGAUGAAGGUUUUCGGAUUGUAAACUCCUUUUGUUAGAGAAGAUAAUGACGGUAUCUAAAGAAUAAGCACCGGCUAACUCCGUGCCAGCAGCCGCGGGAAUACGGAGGGUGCAAGCGUUACUCGGAAUCACUGGGCGUAAAGAGCGCGUAGGCGGGAUAGCAAGACAGAUGUGAAAGCCUAUGGCUUAACCAUAGAAAGGCAUUUGAGACUGUAAGUCUAGAGUAUGUGAGAGGUAGGUGGAAUUCUAAGUGUAGGAGUAAAAUCCGUAGAUAUUAAGAAGAAUACUCAUGGCGAAGGCGGCCUGCUAGAACGUAACUGACGCUGAUACGCGAAAGCGUGGGGAGCAAACAGGAUUAGAUACCCUUGUAGUC
This 440-nucleotide ribosomal RNA is filed under the name uncultured bacterium. RNAcentral's name for it is "partial 16S ribosomal RNA". It matches the Rfam family "Bacterial small subunit ribosomal RNA", at positions 338 to 795 of the family's 1533-position model. The record is from RNAcentral.